AAGUAGUGCACUGAAAGGGAAUCGACCGGUAUCCAGUCCGGAACUUACACAGGUGUUGCAUGGCUGUCGUCAGCUCGUACCGUGAGGCGUACCCUUAAGUGGGUUAACGAGCGCAACCCCUACCGUUAGUUGUAUCACUCUAGCGGAACUGCCCCGGCAACGGGGAGGAAGGUGGGGACGACGUCAAGUCGGUAUUGCCUUUAUGCCUGGGGCUAGAAGCAUGCUACAAUGGCGCGUACAGCGAGUUUGCAACGCGGCGACGCGAAGCUAAUCUCUUAAAGCGCGCCCCAGUUCGGAUUGAGGUCUGCAAUUCGACCUCAUGAAGUCGGAAUCGCUAGUAAUCGGCGGUCAGCUAUACGCCGGUGAAUACGUUCUCGGGU
Molecule: ribosomal RNA, 380 nt
Filed under: uncultured bacterium
Lineage: Bacteria
Description: bacterial SSU rRNA
Rfam family: Bacterial small subunit ribosomal RNA
Source: RNAcentral